UUUUAGCCCUGAUGGAAGUAGAAAUCCUGGCGUUGUGAGAUUGUUUUACAAGCUCGCAAGGACAGAUUGCAACGGACAGCAGGAACAUGG
Molecule: small RNA, 90 nt
Filed under: Flavobacterium enshiense DK69
Lineage: Bacteria; Pseudomonadati; Bacteroidota; Flavobacteriia; Flavobacteriales; Flavobacteriaceae
Description: Flavobacterium sp. DK69 Flavo-1 RNA
Rfam family: Flavo-1 RNA
Source: Rfam by way of RNAcentral